UCUAAURUGGCAGAAUAGUGCAAUGAAUUUAAGCUUCAUUUAUAAAGAAAAAUCUUUUAUUAGAA
Molecule: transfer RNA, 65 nt
Filed under: Mesovelia vittigera
Lineage: Eukaryota; Metazoa; Arthropoda; Insecta; Hemiptera; Mesoveliidae
Description: tRNA-Leu
Source: RNAcentral